Molecule: long non-coding RNA, 2443 nt
Filed under: Sus scrofa (pig)
Lineage: Eukaryota; Metazoa; Chordata; Mammalia; Artiodactyla; Suidae
Description: lncRNA (ENSSSCG00050039998.1)
Source: RNAcentral
GCUGCACCUGAGGUAUGUGGACGUUCCCAGAGCCAGCAAUCAAAGCUGUGUCACAGCAGGCAAUCUGAGCCACAGCAGUGCCAAAGCUGGACCCUUAACCAACUGAGCCACCAGGGAACUCAUCAUGCAUAUUUAAAGGCUUUAUUUUAGAGAGCAUGUUCUUUCUCAUUUUCUCAUUUGAUGCUCAUGAGCCUAUAGGCAUAACAAGCACACUGAUUCAAUCAGGAACUACAUCUUGAACACCUACUAUGUGCAAGGCACCAUUCCAAGUGCUGGAAAUUCAGAUAAAUAUCCCUGACCUUCAAGGAGCUUAUUUUUCUGUGGUACUGUUCAUCCUUUGUUUGCUCACCUUUCUAGAAACAGCAAAAUUCACCAUGUGCAUGUCUGCUGGGUUAGGGGCUUGGUGUGAACAGAAAAAAGUCUAGUUUCUAUUAUUUAAUAAAAAUGAGUAUGUUUUACAGUAUUACACAAAAUCAUUUCUUCUUCCUCCAUCUCCCUAUAUUAUACUGUAAACAAAAAAACUUCCCCAUUUUGGCAAAAUAAAAUACUGCAUAUAGAACAAGAGCCACACAUAAGUAUGUUUACAAGCUUUUUCCACAUCUUUGCAUCCUAUGGUAAUUCUCAAAUUACAUAAAGGGGAGGAAGGGGAGGAAAAAGCCCUUAAAGGUUUACACUUUUCCUUAAGUUUCAAGUGUUCUGAAAUAAACAGCCUGACAUCUUAUUGACAAUGUGUCAGCAUCUGCUUAAUUCAAAAACAGCUGGGGGAGUUUCCAUUGUGGUGCAGUGGAAACGAACCUGACUAGUACCCAUGAGGAUGCAGGUUCGAUUCCUGACCUCGCUCAGUGGGUGAAAGAUCUGGUGUUGCUGUGUCUGUGGUGCAGGCCGGCAGCUGCAGCUCUGAUUCAACCCCUAGCCUAGAACUUCCAUAUGCUGAUGGCUUAGGGGAAGCGAUAGACAUCAAAUAACAGAAGUCUGGGGCCAGGGGUAUAGGACUGGAAAACCCUUUGAAAGGAAGGGCAAGGCUUUUAGUUCCAAGAAAGGAGGAUGGACACAGCCUAUGACUCUUUUUUUCUACUCUCCCAUCUGUGAAGGAAGUAGCCUGCAGGAGUUAAGCGGCUUGAACUAUUUUUAGGCCUCUGACCCUUUUAAAAAGCCAGAGCUAAAUUCAGUCCUCCGUUACACCCACUCAACUCCCAGUGGCUUCAGCGCGAGCCCCGGGAGAACCCGUUCAGCGCUCAGGAGACUUUAGCUAUGCCCUUGGCAUUCUCGGCUUCAGAUGGAUCUCUGGAUCCCUCACCGGGUCACCCAGGCUCUGGAAAGCCACCCUGCGGGCUUCCAGCUUCACAGAGGGCAGUGGCCACAGGCUCCUAUUCUGAGGAUAUCCCCAUGAGCUGUGACGAUUUUCACACAACUGGAUGAAAGGCUCAGGUUUUUCGGGUUGUGGAUUUUUUGUUUUUUUGUUUUGUUUUGUUUUUUUACAAAUCAGGCCAAAAGGGGAAAAUAAGUUUCUUUUGAAAACGGUAGUCAAUCUAUCUCAGAAUUGUUUAAAAAUUAUAAUCUCAUCUAUAGGAGCCCAGAUUUGAAGAACUGUAGUACAUGGGCUAAAUUAAACUUACCUCCAACUAGCACAGGGUAAUUACAAUCAGGCAUCACAUGAAGUUCACUGCUGCUGAAUGCAACAUGAUUUGUGACAGUAAACUACAGUAUGGUGGAGAAAGACAAAAAAAUCAUUUAUAAAUAACGGGUCCCACGUCUGACUUGUGGGGUGAGUGGAGAGCAUUCGGCAUCUCCAAUUACUUUAACGGGGGGCUGUCAGAUCCCAGGGAAAGGACACAUCGUCUCCCCUCACCCUCUCUAAUCCUUCCUUCUUAAAGGAACACUCAGCAAGAUAAUGAAUCCUUUAAAUGUUACAUCUUCUGUCCUGCAUUAUUGUGGUGCAGAAACUCUUCACAUCAAACAGUCAUCAGGACUAUUACAAAGUGGGCUUAUAAGAGAGGGGCUGAAAAGGAGCUGUGUGAAAAGAAGUGGAAAAUUAAAGCUGAAGCAGUCGAAGAAAGGGCUUAAUUUACUGGCAUGUACAGUAUGCAAAUGAGAUUACUCUCAGCUUAACUGCAUCAUUUAUGUCCAUAAUAACGGCAUCAUCAUUACAGGGCUCAAAUUAAAUUACACCAUAAUUAGCAUAUCAAAGUGAUUGGUUAAAGUUUAAAACAAAUACCCAAUUUUGUUAAUGAACAGCUGUAAUUGUCAUGUACACUUCAGUGAAAACUCUCUAAACAAAUAUAUGUUUUAGAAGAGAGGAAGAUUCCCCCCCCUCUGUAGACAGGUCUGUAGCAGAGGUAAAUUACCUAAAAAAGAAUGACAUGGACUAUUCUAUUAAUGUUAAUAUAUGCUGAUCAUUUUCAGGUAAUAAAGCAUUCUAUCAAAACAAGGUUUCGCUUAUAUU